UGGCCGGCCUGGGGCUCUCUGGCUGUUGCGGGGCUGCGGCUCCCAGCAUGCCCAGACUGCCUACAGCUAUCGGCCUCUGGCUGGGCAUGGUGGGGUUUGUGGUUUUGCGGCAGCUGGACAGCUGGGGAGCCGUAGGAUGGCCACCCCUGCCA
Molecule: long non-coding RNA, 152 nt
Organism: Bufo bufo (common toad)
Lineage: Eukaryota; Metazoa; Chordata; Amphibia; Anura; Bufonidae
Exons: 3
Source: RefSeq, a predicted model, not a curated record